GGCCACCCCAACUCGAACUGCUCUCUCCACCACCACCAAAACAAAGAAACCGCCUCCACCACCCACCACCACCUUCUUCACACCUGACCACACAAACAUGUUAGGCCUCCACAAUGUUUUCCUCACAGCUCCACCGCCUUAUUCUUCUUCUUUCCAACAACAAUCCAUUUCCUCUUCUCACCAAAUAAAUAGUACCAUCCAUGACCAGUGCAACAUUUCCAACAAUCAAGAGUCUUGGACGACUUUUAAGAGAUAUCAUCAGCAAGAAUCAAGCUUUGCUAAAGGUCAUGCGUUAAAUGUUGGUGAGGAUAAUGAAAAUACCACUAAUACCUCUUCUAGAGUCUGCG
RNAcentral lists this unclassified non-coding RNA (347 nucleotides) under Hevea brasiliensis (rubber tree). Lineage: Eukaryota; Viridiplantae; Streptophyta; Magnoliopsida; Malpighiales; Euphorbiaceae. The record is from RNAcentral.